Molecule: ribosomal RNA, 497 nt
Filed under: uncultured bacterium
Lineage: Bacteria
Description: partial 16S ribosomal RNA
Rfam family: Bacterial small subunit ribosomal RNA
Source: RNAcentral
UGAACGCUGGCGGCGUGCCUAAUACAUGCAAGUCGCGCGAACAGACGAGAGUGCUUGCACUCUCUGACGUUAGCGGCGGACGGGUGAGUAACACGUGGGUAACCUACCUAUAAGACUGGGAUAACUUCGGGAAACCGGAGCUAAUACCGGAUAAUAUUUAGCUUCGCAUGAAGCAAUAGUGAAAGACGGUUCUGCUGUCACUUAUAGAUGGACCCGCGGUGUAUUAGCUAGUUGGUGAGGUAACGGCUCACCAAGGCAACGAUACAUAGCCGACCUGAGAGGGUGAUCGGCCACACUGGGACUGAGACACGGCCCAGACUCCUACGGGAGGCAGCAGUAGGGAAUCUUCCGCAAUGGACGAAAGUCUGACGGAGCAAUGCCGCGUGAGUGAAGAAGGUUUUCGGAUCGUAAAACUCUGUUGUAAGGGAAGAACAAGUACGUUAGUAACUGAACGUACCUUGACGGUACCUUACCAGAAAGCCACGGCUAACUACGUG